UGUCCUACGGGAGGCAGCAGUGGGGAAUAUUGCACAAUGGGCGAAAGCCUGAUGCAGCAACGCCGCGUGAAGGAAGACGGUUUUCGGAUUGUAAACUUCUGUUCUUAGUGAAGAAUAAUGACGGUAACUAAGGAGCAAGCCACGGCUAACUACGUGCCAGCAGCCGCGGUAAUACGUAGGUGGCAAGCGUUGUCCGGAAUUACUGGGUGUAAAGGGAGCGUAGGCGGGAAGCCAAGUCAGCUGUGAAAACUACGGGCUUAACCUGUAGACUGCAGUUGAAACUGGCUUUCUUGAGUGAAGUAGAG
RNAcentral lists this ribosomal RNA (305 nucleotides) under uncultured bacterium. RNAcentral's name for it is "bacterial SSU rRNA". It matches the Rfam family "Bacterial small subunit ribosomal RNA", at positions 335 to 656 of the family's 1533-position model. The record is from RNAcentral.